RNAcentral lists this ribosomal RNA (253 nucleotides) under uncultured bacterium. Its description in RNAcentral is "partial 16S ribosomal RNA". It matches the Rfam family "Bacterial small subunit ribosomal RNA", at positions 524 to 776 of the family's 1533-position model. The record is from RNAcentral.
UACGUAGGGCGCAAGCGUUGUCCGGAAUUAUUGGGCGUAAAGAGCUCGUAGGCGGUUUGUCGCGUCUGCUGUGAAAACUCGGGGCUUAACUCCGGGCCUGCAGUGGGUACGGGCAGACUAGAGUGCGGUAGGGGAGACUGGAAUUCCUGGUGUAGCGGUGAAAUGCGCAGAUAUCGGGAGGAACACCGGUGGCGAAGGCGGUUCUCUGGGCCUUACCUGACGCUGAGGAGCGAAAGCGUGGGGAGCGAACAGG